This 470-nucleotide ribosomal RNA is filed under the name uncultured bacterium. Its description in RNAcentral is "bacterial SSU rRNA". It matches the Rfam family "Bacterial small subunit ribosomal RNA", at positions 30 to 524 of the family's 1533-position model. The record is from RNAcentral.
CCUGAACGCUGGCGGCGUGGCUAAGACAUGCAAGUCGAACGGGUGUAGCAAUACACCAGUGGCGGACGGGUGAGUAAUGAAUCGCUAACGUACCCCGGAGCCAGGGAUAGCCAGCCGAAAGGCUGGGUAAUACCUGAUGAGACCCCGAACAGGCAUCUGUUUGUGCUCAAAGCCGUAAGGCACUCUGGGAGCGGGCGAUUUUGUACCAGCUUGUUGGUGAGGUAAUGGCUCACCAAGGCGACGACGCAUAGCCGGACUGAGAGGUUGGCCGGCCACAUUGGGACUGAGACACUGCCCAGACUCCUACGGGGGGCUGCAGUAACGAAUCCUCCGCGAUGCACGAAAGUGUGACGGAGCGACGCCGCGUGUAGGACGAAGCCCUUCGGGGUGUAAACUACUGUCAGGGGAAAGAAAGUUCUGAUCUACCCCAGAGGAAGGACGGCUAACUCUGUGCCAGCAGCCGCGGUAAC